Molecule: ribosomal RNA, 374 nt
Filed under: uncultured organism
Description: bacterial SSU rRNA
Rfam family: Archaeal small subunit ribosomal RNA
Source: RNAcentral
CCAGCACCCGAGUGGUCGGGACGAUUAUUGGGCCUAAAGCAUCCGUAGCCGGUUUUACAAGUCCUCCGUUAAAUCCAACUGCUUAACAGAUGGGCCGCGGAGGAUACUAUAAGACUAGGAGGCAGGAGAGGCAAGCGGUACUCAGUGGGUAGGGGUAAAAUCCGUUGAUCCAUUGAAGACCACCAGUGGCGAAGGCGGCUUGCCAGAAUGCGCUCGACGGUGAGGGAUGAAAGCUGGGGGAGCAAACCGGAUUAGAUACCCGGGUAGUCCCAGCUGUAAACGAUGCAGACUCGGUGAUGGACUAGCUUUAUGCUAGUCCAGUGCCGCAGGGAAGCCGUUAAGUCUGCCGCCUGGGUAGUACGGUCGCAAGACUG